CCUACGGGUGGCAGCAGUGAGGAAUAUUGGUCAAUGGCCGAGAGGCUGAACCAGCCAAGUCGCGUGAGGGAAGACGGCCCUACGGGUUGUAAACCUCUUUUGUCGGGGAGCAAAGCGAACCACGUGUGGUUCAUUGAGAGUACCCGAAGAAAAAGCAUCGGCUAACUCCGUGCCAGCAGCCGCGGUAAUACGGAGGAUGCGAGCGUUAUCCGGAUUUAUUGGGUUUAAGGGGUGCGCAGGCGGAGGUGCAAGUCAGCGGUCAAAUUGCGGGGCUCAACCCCGUACUGCCGUUGAAACUGCAUCCCUUGAGUGCGCGAGAAGUAUGCGGAAUGCGUGGUGUAGCGGUGAAAUGCUUAGAUAUUGCGCAGAACUCCGAUUGCGAAGGCAGCAUACCGGCGGCGAUCUGACGCUGAGGCACGAAAGCGUGGGUAUCGAACAGGAUUAGAUACCCUUGUAGUC
This 459-nucleotide ribosomal RNA is filed under the name uncultured bacterium. RNAcentral's name for it is "partial 16S ribosomal RNA". It matches the Rfam family "Bacterial small subunit ribosomal RNA", at positions 338 to 795 of the family's 1533-position model. The record is from RNAcentral.